AAUUGAGGUAACAUUGGUUUAUGACAUGUUUCAUGUGUACCUUAUAGAUUGACUUCUAUAGACACUGCAGUGGGUUCACCACCCGAAACUUAGUUUCCAUCCAUCGCCCUACAGCUCACCCCCUUUAGGCAUUUUGCCCUCCACCAUUUCCCUCUAGUAUCCACUACCCCAUUGUCUGUAUCCAUGGGUCUGUUCUGGUUUAUGCUUGGUUUGUUCAUUUCUUUUGUUUUAUUUUAAUGCCAUUUACGAGUGAAAUCGUCGACUCUUUGUCUUUCUCUGUCUGACUUAUUUCAUUUAGAAUACCCUCAAGGUCCAUCCAUGUUGUUGCAAGUGGCAAGAUUUCAUCUUUUCAUGGCCAAGUAAUAUUCCAUUGCCUACAAACAACACCACAUCUUUAGCUAUUCAUCCAUAAGGGGACACUUAGGCUGUCACAGCCUGUGCUCUGGAAUCAAAUUUCCAAAUGAGGUGUCAGCAGCUGGGAAGAAAACCUCCGUGAACCCCAGGUUCAUGGCGGCACUAUUUACAGUAGCUCAAAUAUGGAAACAGCCUAAGUGUACUGGCUAUUGUACUGGCUAUUGUAUUGGCUGCAAUGAACAUUGAGGUGCAUGUAUCUUUUCAAAAUAGAGUUAAAGCUCAAGGCUCUUCUGAGCAUUAGUCCCUCAGCCAAUGUACAGGUCACACAUCCAUGAAGCAGGUGAGAUUGGACAGAGGAGUGUGGAGCCCCAGAAGCCAGGAGAAAAAACAUGUUUCAAAGAGAAGAGAAUGGCUGGUUAACUGGGUCAAGGACAUGAGCCAGCUGGCCUGAGGACAGACCAUCGGAUGUGACCAGGUUGAUGCCACUGUGUUGAUGAGAGUAGCUCCUAGCACGGGGUGGGGACAAAAGCCCUGACUGGCUGGGUUCAAGCAGGAAGAGAGAAAGUAGACAGAGUGGGGAGGUGGACAGCUUUGGAGGGGGUUUUGCUAUAAUGAAGAGCACGAUCCAGAGGCUGUUAUGGAAUCAAAGCAGGGAUUAUUAUUAUUCAUUAUUGUUAUCGCCUAUUUGUAUAUUGAUGAAAUUAUUCUAUAGAGACUAGAACAUUCAUAAGGCAAGAAAGGAAGGGGAGCCUUGGCAGGAGAGGUGUCCUUGAGCAGCAGGUGUGUGGAAGGAGUUGACCUUCUGUGGGGGGAUCGUUGGUUCAUGGGGUGAGGAAGGAAGCCCAGCCUAGGCCUGGCGGGGCUGGGCAGAAUUCUUGUCCUGACAACUACCAUCUCAGGGAAAUGGGCAGUAAUGCCAGAGCAUCUAUGGGAUGGGGGGGGCACCCUCGGACUUCUUCCAUUUUAUCUCACUUUUUUAUUGCUUGUUGAACCCACUACAUUGGCUUCUUGAACCACAAAUGAAUCUUGACCUGGCGUUUGUAAAACACUGGAUGUCUAAUGACAAUGGAGAUGGACCAGUUCCUGGAGGCAGUGAUGGGGGCAGGUUAGAUGCAGUGAUGCGGGCAGGUUAGAUGCAGUGAUGGGGGCAGGUUAGAUGCAGUGAUGCGGGCAGGUUAGAUGCAGUGAUGGGGGCAGGUUAGACGCAUACCUCUUACCUGAGAUAAGAAAAGUUCCUUUUUAAGGCAGGUCGAGUUGGAGUUUCCCUCCCUUGCUGCCAAAAAGCAUCAGGACUGAAUUAUAGGACGAGGCUACAGCAGUGCAAGAGGUCUGGCAGCCAGGCUGUACCCACCAAGAAGACCUUCAUGACCCCGGAACUGGGGAGGGGGGCUGGAGACCUAGGAGGUUCUAUGGGGCACCCGAAAGUGGAGCAAGGACCCAAGAUGUACCAUCAGGCCAUUUCCCAUCAGGUAACGUGGUAUUCUCGGCUGAGUAUACCAGCUGGAGAGUGGAACGGCCCCUACCGGGGUCUGACCCCACCAUGUAUUAGCUAUGUUCCCUCAGACACCUCUGUAUCAGCUUCCUUCUCUGCCGUGUGAGGAAACACCUGCCUCCAGGGCUACCAGGUGGACCAAUGAAGUCAUCCUUGCCAAAUGUGGAGCACAAAGCCUGGCGAUGCUGAGAAAGUGCCUCGUAUGAAUAUUAUUCUCCUUCCUCUGCUACCUGGUGGCCAUGUCCUCCCACCCUCCACUUCCCUCCAUUCCUCCCUGUCUGACUUCCACACGUCCUUGAAGAGGCAAACUUAGGCAUCACCUCCUCCACGAAGCCCUCCCUGCUUUCCUCCCAUCCCAGGUCUGGGUAGAUGCCUUCUUUGUGCUUCUCCCAGCUGAAGUUUUGAAAUCUGCCUCCCAGCGCCUAUGACAGCAGGUGGCACAUGAUAGGUUCUCAGUGAUGGUUGAGCAAAUGAGGGAGUGAACGAACGAGUGGACAAAGCGGGGACUGGGUUUUAGGAACAAGGUAGAGAUUUACUCAUCAAAAUUGGGGAUCGAGGGGCAAGUGAUGAGAGGAGCUCAUAGUGGAUUUCCUGAUGCCUCCUCCCACACACAUUCUCGAUCCUUUGGUCUCGAGCCAUUUUUCACUCAUGCAGCAAGUAUUGCUGAGUUCCUAUUAUAUUCCACACUCUGUUCUUGACACUAAAGAUACAGAAGUAAACAAGAUAUUCAUAAUUCUUCCUCUCUUUGUACCUGUUAUGUUCUAGUAGCAGAAACAGACACACAGGAAAUACAUAAAAUACAAGAUAGUUUCAGAUCAAGGGAAGUACUAGGAAGAAAAUAAAAGCAUGAAGAAAGAGAAAGGGAUCAGGACAGAAAGUUCCUUUCAAUGAGAGAGUCAGAGAAGAUAUUUAAACUAAGGUAGGAGUUCCCUGGCGGUAAGGGUCUGGCAUGGUCACUACUAUGGCUUGGGUCGUGGCUGUGGUGCAGGUUCAAUCCCUGGCCUGGGAACUUUCACAUGCCAAGGGUACAACCAAAAAAAGAAAAGAAAAGAAAGGAAUGAUGAGAACAAGGAAGGCAGGCCAAGUCCUGAGGAAGGGCCGUCCACUCAGAGGGGACAGGCAGCAAGUGCAAAGGUCCUGAGGCAGGCUUGGUGUGUUAGAGAAACUGAAAGGAACAAGAAAGUGGUGCCUCGGAAGCCGGGUGGAGGAGGAGAAUGUAGGUCAAGGUAACACAAGAGCAAUAAGGAGCUUUUAGAGAUGUAGGCAGGUUUUAAACAUGAUCUCACUUAUGUUUUUAAAAACAAGCAAUCAUCUGGCCACAACCUUAAGAAAUGACUUUGGGUGGCAGGGGAUGCAGGGAGUAGCAGGGAGCCAGUGAGGAGGCUUUCAUGGUUGUCCAGGUAAGAAGCAAUGGUGGUUUUGACUCGAAAAGACACAUGUUCUCCAAUGUUCAUGGCAGCACUAUUUGCAAUAGCCAAGACAUGGAAACAACCUAAAUGUCCAUCGACAGAGGAGCGGAUCAAGAAGAUGUGGUACAUCUACACAGUGGAAUAUUACUCAGCCAUUAAAAGGAGAGAUAACAGCAUUUUUAGCAACAUGGAUGGACCUAGAAAUUAUCAUGCUAAGUGAAGUCAGUCAGACAAUGAGACACCAACAUCAAAUGCUAUCAGUGACAUGUGGAAUCUUAAAAAGAGACACAAUGAACUUUUUGGCAGAACAGAUACUGACUCACAGACUUUGAAAACCUUAUGGUUUCCAAAUGAGACAGGUUGGGAGGUAGGGGGAUGCACUGAGGGUUUGGGAUGGACAGGCUGUAAAAUUUGGUUGUGAUGUUUGUUGUACACCUAUAAAUGUAAUAAAAUUUAUUCAGUAAUAAGAACAAAAGAAGCAUUGGUGGUUUAAACAAGAGCAGUGGCAGCAGAGGCGGAAGGAAGCAUGGGCUCUAUUUUGGAAUCAGAGACAACAGGAUGUUGUGAACCUGCCAGGGAAACAAGGGGUCCCAGCCAUGAGGACACAGGCCAGGGAGGCAGCUAUUUUCUUCCCAGCUUGACUCUGGUUUGGCCCUGCCUGAGCUGCCCACGCUCUGAGCCCUGCUCCCAUGGUAUCUACCUUUCGUCCCCCAUCCAGCCGCCAACCGUGGGUGGACAUCUGCUGCCCUGGAACCUUUCUCCUGCCUCCCUGCCUUCUGUAGCUAACACCUGCUUGCAGAGUUAUUUACCACCAUUCUCUCUCCUAGGGAUUUCUGCAGCGCCUGCCUCCGUCUGAAGACAUCUGCCUUCUAUUAACGUAAAGAAAAUACCAGCAGCCAGCUCCAGCUCUGCCCAGUGUUCUGCCAUCGGCAAAGGGACUUUGUGUGUGCUGCGUCUCCUUUGGGACUCAGACAUCGUCAUAAUGGCUAAUGUUUAUUGAGCACUCACGAGGCACCAGACCGAGCUAAGUGCUUCACUUGCGGUCAGGGGUUGAAUUGUGUUCCCGCAAAAGACAGGUGCAAGCCCUCACCCCCCAGUACCCGUGACAAUGCCCUUAUUUGGAAACAGGGUCUUGGCAGGUGGCAUCAAGUUAAGAUGAGGUCACUAGGGCAGGUCCUCAUCCCGUCUGACUGGUGACAUUAUAAAUAGAGAAGAGACAGACAGACGUGCAGAAGAAAGGCUGUGUUAGCAACAGAAGCAGAGAUUGCAGCAACGCUUUACAAAGCACAGAGCGCCUGCGUCUUACGCCCAAAGAUAUAACAUGCCUUGGGGCUAAGAACCAGGAGGUGGAACCAGGAACAGUUCCUCCCAGACCCCUGGAUUCCUAACUCCCUCCCCAACACAAGCUCGCCUCUCUCUCUCAUUCUUCCACAUCAGCGCCUCACUUUUUUAUUUUUUUAUUUUUCAUUUUUCAGCCUUGCCCACAACAUGCAGAAGUUCCGCUGGCUAGGGAUCCAACCCGCGCCCCAGCAGCGACCCAGGUUGCAGCAGUGACGAUGCCGGAUCCUUAAAUCGCUGCACCACAAGAGAACCCCAACGCCUCACUUUUGAACCGUGAUUACUGUCUAUAAAGAGUCUUCAGCUCACUUCUGCAUUCGCUGCUCCCAGAGCCCGUGAGGCAAGGUGGGAGACCCUCCACUCAGAAAGGAGGAAGCGGAGUCAGAGGCCAAGGGCAUCACCCAGCUCGGGACGCCAGACCCGAGCUGCCUCAUCCCUUUGGCCACUCUGACCCCUCUCCAAAGCCCCCACUGCGCGUCACCAGAAGGGCAGGUUCUUAGAGAUGCAAAGGGCCCGCCUGGGCCUUAGAGUCAGACAAGCCAAGCUGGAGGGGGCUGCUGGAGUCACCUAGUCCAAACCAUGUGCAAACAGAGAGCGAAACGCUGAAUAACCCAAAAGGAACCAGAGUGACUGCUUCAUAAAGCAUUCCAACCCCGUCAGAUAAAACAAUUUCCGAGUAUCGGGUUGUCAUCUAAAUUCCCGUUUCCGAGUUCCCAUUGUGGAGCAAUGGGAUCAGAAGCAUCUUGGGAGCUCUGGGAUCCAGAUCCCCAGCCCGCCCAGUGGGUUAAGGGCACAGCAUUGCCACAGCUGCGGUUUAGGUUGCGACUGUGGCUCAAAUCUA
This 5434-nucleotide long non-coding RNA is filed under the name Sus scrofa (pig). Its description in RNAcentral is "lncRNA (ENSSSCG00050065070.1)". The record is from RNAcentral. Lineage: Eukaryota; Metazoa; Chordata; Mammalia; Artiodactyla; Suidae.